CCUACGGGAGGCUGCAGUGAGGAAUAUUGGUCAAUGGACGAGAGUCUGAACCAGCCAAGUAGCGUGAAGGAUGACUGCCCUAUGGGUUGUAAACUUCUUUUAUAUGGGAAUAAAAUGUUCCACGUGUGGGAUUUUGUAUGUACCAUAUGAAUAAGGAUCGGCUAACUCCGUGCCAGCAGCCGCGGUAAUACGGAGGAUCCGAGCGUUAUCCGGAUUUAUUGGGGUUAAAGGGAGCGUAGGUGGAUUGUUAAGUCAGUUGUUAAAGUUUGUGGCUCAACCGUAAAAUUGCAGUUGAGACUGGUAGUCUAGAGUAUAGUAGAGGUAGGCGGAAUUCGUGGUGUAGCGGUGAAAUGCUUAGAUAUCACGAAGAACUCCGAUUGCGAAGGCAGUUCACUGGACUGCAACUGACACUGAGGCUCGAAAGUGUGGGUAUCAAACAGGAUUAGAUACCCCUGUAGUC
This 460-nucleotide ribosomal RNA is filed under the name uncultured bacterium. RNAcentral describes it as "partial 16S ribosomal RNA". It matches the Rfam family "Bacterial small subunit ribosomal RNA", at positions 338 to 795 of the family's 1533-position model. The record is from RNAcentral.